This 252-nucleotide ribosomal RNA is filed under the name uncultured bacterium. RNAcentral's name for it is "partial 16S ribosomal RNA". It matches the Rfam family "Bacterial small subunit ribosomal RNA", at positions 524 to 776 of the family's 1533-position model. The record is from RNAcentral.
UACGUAGGUCCCGAGCGUUGUCCGGAUUUAUUGGGCGUAAAGCGAGCGCAGGUGGUUUAUUAAGUCUGGUGUAAAAGGCAGUGGCUCAACCAUUGUGUGCAUUGGAAACUGGUAGACUUGAGUGCAGGAGAGGAGAGUGGAAUUCCAUGUGUAGCGGUGAAAUGCGUAGAUAUAUGGAGGAACACCGGUGGCGAAGGCGGCCUGCUGGACUGCAACUGACGUUGAGGCCCGAAAGCGUGGGGAGCAAACAGG